UCUCCUGGAAAACGGGUGGUAAUGCCGGAUGUUCCACAUGAUCGCAUGUGAUUGUGGGAAAGAUUCUAUCGGCGUGGGAUGGGGUCGCGUCCUAUCAGCUUGUUGGUGAGGUAACGGCUCACCAAGGCUUCGACGGGUAGCCGGCCUGAGAGGGCGACCGGCCACAUUGGGACUGAGAUACGGCCCAGACUCCUACGGGAGGCAGCAGUGGGGAAUAUUGCACAAUGGGCGCAAGCCUGAUGCAGCGACGCCGCGUGAGGGAUGGAGGCCUUCGGGUUGUAAACCUCUUUUGUUUGGGAGCAAGCCUUCGGGUGAGUGUACCUUUCGAAUAAGCGCCGGCUAACUACGUGCCAGCAGCCGCGGUAAUACGUAGGGCGCAAGCGUUAUCCGGAUUUAUUGGGCGUAAAGGGCUCGUAGGCGGCUCGUCGCGUCCGGUGUGAAAGUCCAUCGCUUAACGGUGGAUCUGCGCCGGGUACGGGCGGGCUGGAGUGCGGUAGGGGAGACUGGAAUUCCCGGUGUAACGGUGGAAUGUGUAGAUAUCGGAAAGAACACCA
Molecule: ribosomal RNA, 554 nt
Filed under: Bifidobacterium bifidum
Lineage: Bacteria; Bacillati; Actinomycetota; Actinomycetes; Bifidobacteriales; Bifidobacteriaceae
Description: bacterial SSU rRNA
Rfam family: Bacterial small subunit ribosomal RNA
Source: RNAcentral